Pelobates cultripes (western spadefoot toad) is the source of this 229-nucleotide non-coding RNA. Lineage: Eukaryota; Metazoa; Chordata; Amphibia; Anura; Pelobatidae. The record is from the annotation of a GenBank genome assembly.
GUCUCAAUGCGAGAGUUCACUUGAGAGGAGUCAGGUUUGCAAAUAAGAUGUUCAGGUGACACCAUGUCCUACUACUUCAGCAGACUGAGGCCUUUCAAUGGGGCGAGCACCACCUUAGUUGCUUCAUUCUUCCACAUGAGAAGCUUAGUAGGAUAUCCCCACCUAUAAGCAAUGUUGUGGUUGGGCAGGAGUUUGGAGACAUAUAUGAUGCAAAACAAGGCUAUGUUGC